UUUAAAGGUAGAAAAUGCAGCCUCUCAAGCCACCAGGAAGUGUAUUUUGCCACCAUUUUUAAUUCUCUGGAGUGGUCAAUUUGCUGCCUGCCUGGUUGUUGUGAGGAUAAAACAAGAGGAGAGAGAUGUGCACGUCGCCCUGAGUUCCUUGAAGGAAAGGUGUGAGAAAAAUAUAAUACAUAAAAGUAACUCUUCUCACUCAAAGUUUCUCUCUCUCAGAACAUGGAAUCAACUGGACAACAGAUCCACAGAUUGUGAAGACACAUCGAGUGUUAAUGUUUUUAACUACUACGAUAUUCUUGGCAAAAACAAUCAAAGAUGGGUGGCAUCUUUUUGGCAGGAACCCUCUCUGGAUUACAGAAGAUUGUGAAUAUAUGUUUUUGGAUUUAAAAUAAUGUAUAAAUGCAAGUUCCCUUUCUAACAGUAUCUGAUUAAACCUUGGAUUAAGACCAAUUAUACUCGAUAUAAGACCAAGAUUAUUAGGUACAUUGCUGGAGGAAGCCCAGGAUUUUGCAAGGAUAGCAAAAUUUGACAAAUUUCUGUCUAAGACCAAUUAGAAAACCUAGAUAUAAGAUCAAGCUCAUUAGAUUUUUAGAUUAUAUACUGCAAAAGGAAGUUUAAAAUUUUGGAUCAUGUUCAAUCAGAAGAAUACAUAAAAGUUAAAGCUCUGUUUAUGAGGAGACAGGUUAAGAUACAGUAAAUUUAGUAUAUAACAUUAGGGGGGAUAGUCCCAGUUCAGUUUAGAUUAUGUAUUUCUUCUUUCUAUUAUUAUUAGCCUUUUUUCUUUCUCCUGAUUAAUUUUUAUUGCUUUUAAAUAAUUUUUUAAUUUUAAUCCAAGCUAGACUCCCACUAAUAACAAAACCUGGUUUGAAUCAUUUUGUGUUUUUUUUCAACAACAUAAUUCAUUGUAGAAGAUAUAUCUUCAAUUAAGAUUAACGGAAGAUUUGCUGCAUGAUUAAGCUUACUUUAUAUGGGGCUACUUGUGGCCAAUCUUGAAUACAAAUAUGUGAGAGCUAGAUUUAUUCAGAUAUCUAAUCGAGUUUACGAAUAACAUAGAUUUGCUUUGUAAUUGUAACCCAAACUAGAUUCCCCUUAGCAAUGAAAUCCGGCUCGAAUCAUUUUGUAUUCUUUUCAGCAGUACAAUUCGUAUCAGAACAUAUUCUUGGAUUAAGAUUAAUAGAAGAUUUACUUUAUGAUUAUGCUUACUUUAUGUGUGACUAGUUUAGAAUACAAAAUAUGUGGGAAUCAGGUUUAUUCAGAUAAGUAACCGUGUGUUCUUAUGAAUAUCAUAGAUAGCUUUGUACUUUUUCUUCAUGCGCAUAUUUUCUGAUCUUGUUCCAAUUCGGAUAAAGAAUGGAGAAAGGUGUUAGGAUGGAAGAGAUUUUGUUUUGUGUAAACUCUGUUAUACUCUAUACAUGAGAAGCUGGAAGCUCAGAGAUGUAACCAUUCUGCUGUUCUCUCUUUUUAAAAUAUUUAAUAAAAAUCAAAUUCAAAGUU
Molecule: long non-coding RNA, 1497 nt
Organism: Hemicordylus capensis (graceful crag lizard)
Lineage: Eukaryota; Metazoa; Chordata; Lepidosauria; Squamata; Cordylidae
Exons: 3
Source: RefSeq, a predicted model, not a curated record